UUGUCUUUACCUGUCAGCGCA
Molecule: non-coding RNA, 21 nt
Filed under: Caenorhabditis elegans
Lineage: Eukaryota; Metazoa; Nematoda; Chromadorea; Rhabditida; Rhabditidae
Source: RNAcentral